GAACUCGGCAAAUUACCCCCGUAACUUCGGGAGAAGGGGGGCCACAGACUGUCAUACCCCACGCGGGUGGCAGCAGUAGGUGGCCGCAGAGACCAGGGGGAAGCGACUGUUUACUAAAAACACAGGUCCGUGCGAAGUCGUAAGACGAUGUAUACGGACUGACGCCUGCCCGGUGCUGGAACGUUAAGGGGACCGGUUAGUCCGCAAGGGCGAAGCUGAGAACUUAAGCGCCAGUAAACGGCGGUGGUAACUAUAACCAUCCUAAGGUAGCGAAAUUCCUUGUCGGGUAAGUUCCGACCUGCACGAAUGGCGUAACGACUUCCCUACUGUCUCAACCACAGGCCCGGCGAAAUUGCACUACGAGUAAAGAUGCUCGUUACGCGCGGAAGGACGGAAAGACCCCGGGACCUUCACUAUAGCUUGACAUUGGUAUCCGAAUUUAAUUGUGUAGGAUAGGUGGGAGGCUUUGAUCCGCGGACGCCAGUCCGUCGGGGAGCCAACGUUGAAAUACCACUCUGUUGAAUUUGGGUAUCUAACUUCGGACCGUGAUCCGGUUCAGGGACAGUGUCUGGUGGGUAGUUUAACUGGGGCGGUUGCCUCCUAAAAUGUAACGGAGGCGCCCAAAGGUUCCCUCAGCCUGGUUGGCAAUCAGGUGUUGAGUGCAAGUGCACAAGGGAGCUUGACUGUGAGACUGACAGGUCGAGCAGGGACGAAAGUCGGGACUAGUGAUCCGGCACCUGCGAGUGGAAGCGGUGUCGCUCAACGGAUAAAAGGUACCCCGGGGAUAACAGGCUGAUCUUCCCCAAGAGUCCAUAUCGACGGGAUGGUUUGGCACCUCGAUGUCGGCUCGUCGCAUCCUGGGGCUGGAGUAGGUCCCAAGGGUUGGGCUGUUCGCCCAUUAAAGCGGCACGCGAGCUGGGUUUAGAACGUCGUGAGACAGUUCGGUCCCUAUCCUCCGCGCGCGUAGGAGACUUGAGAAGAGCUGUCCCUAGUACGAGAGGACCGGGACGGACGAACCUCUGGUGUGCCAGUUGUCAUGCCAAUGGCACGGCUGGUUAGCUACGUUCGGAAGGGAUAACCGCUGAAAGCAUCUAAGCGGGAAGCUCGCUUCAAGAUGAGGUCUCCCACCCCUUCGAGGGUUAAGGCCCCCAGCUAGACCACUGGGUUGAUAGGCCAGAAGUGUAAGCCUGGUAACAGGUUCAGCCGACUGGUACUAAUAGGCCGAGGACUUCACCG
This 1236-nucleotide ribosomal RNA is filed under the name metagenome. RNAcentral's name for it is "bacterial LSU rRNA". It matches the Rfam family "Bacterial large subunit ribosomal RNA", at positions 1710 to 2925 of the family's 2925-position model. The record is from RNAcentral.